Molecule: ribosomal RNA, 4605 nt
Filed under: Candidatus Nealsonbacteria bacterium CG15_BIG_FIL_POST_REV_8_21_14_020_37_12
Lineage: Bacteria; Candidatus Nealsoniibacteriota
Description: bacterial LSU rRNA
Rfam family: Bacterial large subunit ribosomal RNA (bases 1-2412)
Source: RNAcentral
GGAGGUUGAGGCGAUGAAGGACGUGGCGUGACUGCGAAAAGCCUCGGGGAGGUGUCUAGCAACCUUUGAUCCGGGGAUUUCCGAAUGGGGAAACCUAAUUUUGCGAUAAGCGAAAUUAGUCCCGUCGAAUGGCGGGACAGCAUACCCGCUGAAGUGAAACAUCUCAGUAAGCGGAGGAAAAAGAAAACAAAUGUUUAUUCCCUGAGUAGCGGCGAGCGAAAAGGGAAGAGCCUAGAUCGAGCAUAUAACUUGUUAUGUGCUUCGAAGUUGAUAAGAGAGAGGCGUUCCAAGGCUUUCGUCUUAAGUGAAAACUUUGGAAGGAGUGAAAAAAUUGACGGUUAGACGAAAUACUCUGGAAAGAGAUACCAAAGGGGGUAAUAGUCCCGUAGUCAAAAACCGAGCAAUCUCUUAGUCUCUUUUCUUAAGUACCACGGGAAAAGAAAGUCCUGUGGGAAGCAGGGUCGACUAACGACCCAAGGCUAAAUACUCAACCUCACCAAUAGUGAACCAGUACCGUGAGGGAAAGGUGAAAAGUAGGGAGGUGAUCCCGGUGAAAUAGAACCUGAAACCAUCUCGCUCACAAAAAGUCGGAGCCCGCAAGGGUGACGGCGUACUUUUUGGAGAACGAACCAACGAGUGUCCCGCACCAAUUUGUCUAAGCGCUUCUAGCGCGAAAGCAAAGGGAAACCAAGUCUUAAAAGGGCAUAUUAAAUUGGUGUGGAACGACCCGAAGCCAAGCGAGCUUGCCAUGGCCAGGGUGAACUUCGUCGAAAGACGAGGGGAGGCCCGAACCCGUGAGCCGUGCAAUACUCUGGGAUGAGCUGUGGCAAGAAGAGAAAACCUAAACGAGCUUGGUGAUAGCUGGUUCUCCCCGAAAUAGUUUUGGGACUAGCGCCCGCCAGAAUUUUGUUUUCCAGAGGUAGAGCACUGGAAAGAAUAUCGUGGAGCAAUCCAGGCAUUCUUACCAAACUCCGAAUGCUGGAAAAUUUAGACGGGUAGUUAGACUAUGGGGGCUAAGCUCCGUAGUCAAAAGGGGAAAAGCCCAAAUCUUCAUCUAAGGUCCCUAAACUGAGCUAAGUGUUUCAAAGGAAGUGGAAUUCCAUUGAUAGCUAGGAGGUUAGCUUAGAAGCAGCUACCCUUUAAAAAGUGCGUAACAGCUUACUAGCUAAGGGAUUCUGCACCUAAGCAUUUAUCGGGGCUAAGCUCAGUACCGAAGAUAAGGCUGAGCACAUAAUUUUUUAUGUGCUCGGGGUAGGGGAGCGUUCUUAGCGCAGCGAAGUCAAACUGUGAGGUUUGAUGGAGCGCUGAGAAGUGAGAAUGUUGGUAUGAGUAACCGCAAUAGCAGUGAAAACCUGUUACACCGAAAACCUAAGGUUUCCUUGGCAAUGGCGAUCAUCCAAGGGUUAGGCGAUCCUUAAGCAAACCCGAAAGGGGUAGCUGAUGGACAGCCGGUUAAUAUUCCGGCCCUCCCGUUAGAUAAACUUCAAAUGACGCAGUCAAAAUCUUUGGAAGAGUUAUUGGAUUCUGAGGUGGGUUUAUCCUGCCGUUCCAAAGGUUAGAUUGCCCAGAAAAGUUUGAAAUAUACUAUCUAACGGGAUCCGUACCGCAAACCGACACAGGUAGGUCGGCGUAAGAGUGCCAAGGUGAACGGGUGAAAGCUCCUGAAGGAACUCGGCAAAAAAGUGGUCGUAAGUUCGCGAUAAGACCUACCCAGUUUAUCUGGGUUGCAACAAAAGACCCCUAGCGACUGUUUAUCAAAAACACAAGUCCCUGCUCAACUCGUAAGAGGAUGUAUAGGGGCUGAGGCCUGACCAGUACCUGUGUGUUAAAGUUGCCGGUCCAAGCACAUAACUUGUUAUGUGCUCGGGCUGAGUGGCUUAAGCCACAGGCUAACGUCCGCAGUAACUAUAACUGUGUUAAAGUAGCGUAACCCCUUGCCACGUAAGUUGUGGCCCGCAUGAAAGGUUUAACGACUAGGGGACUGUCUCCAGGAGUUACCCGGUGAAAUUGCAAUAAGCGUGAAGAUGCGCUUUACCUGCGGCUAGACGGAAAGACCCCGGGAGCUUUACUGUAGGGUGGUAUUGAAUUUUGGGUUUUGAUGCGUAGCGUAGUGGGGAGGCUUUGAAGUUCUGGUUUCGGCCAGAACGGAGCCGCCAAUGAAACACCCAUCUUUGAAACUCUUAGUUCUAAUCUCGCGUUAAAGGCGGGAGACAGUGCUACUCGGUCAGUUUAAGUGGGGCACUUGCCUUAAUUUAUGGGGCCAUUUGAGAGGAAUCUCAAAUGCAAACUCGACUAAUAUGCUGGGACAUCUGGAGUACUUAAGGAGUAAUCCAACAAGUGAAACCAGAUAAUCAGCAGGGAAAUCAUUUUUAAAGCGAUACCCUCAACGACUGUACGUCGAGUCCCCGUGAGAUAUGAAAUUAUCACACGGGGUAGUGAUACAGUCUGAACUUUAGGGCGACCUAAAGAUUCGGUAAAGUUAGUUUUAGUGCCCACUAACUAACCCGAAACUUAGAGCUCAAAAAUUUAUGAGGAGUAGAGAAAUAGAGGAAUACAAGAGUAAACUUUCUCUAAGUGAGAGACAAAAAGAAAUAUUGAUUGGAUUGAUUUUAGGAGAUGGCCAUCUGGAGAAACUUUAUACCCCGACACUAGGAAGGUUAAAAGUAGAACAUAGUUACAAACAAAAAGACUAUGUAGAUUGGCUUUACGAAGAAUUCAGAAAUUGGGUAAGGAGCAAACCAAAAUCAAAGAGAAAGAAAGUUUGGAAUAAAACUUACCUGAAUUAUGGAUUCCUUACUUAUGGACAUAGAAUGUUAGGAGAGUUUCAAGAAAGGUUUUAUAGGAAUAGAAAGAAAAUCGUACCCAAAGAGUUAGAAAAAGAUAUUACUUCUUUAGGAUUAGCGAUUUGGUUUAUGGACGACGGUUCGAUUAAAUCAAGAAGACAUAAAGGAUUAUUCUUGAAUACUCAGGACUUUAAGAAAAGCGAUGUCCAAAAACUUCAGCAAAUACUUAAAAAGAAAUUUGAUCUAUCCAGUUCAACAAGACAAGACGAGAAAGGAGAGCAGAUAUAUCUAGGAGGAAAAUCGGCAGAAAAAUUUAUUGGGAUAAUAAAAUCUUAUAUAAUUCCUUCAAUGGAAUAUAAAAUCCCUAGAGCUUUAAAAUUAACAAAAUUGCCUAAAAGGUAAUGGAGGCGUUUAAAGGUCGGCUAGCUCCGGAUGGAAAUCGGAGUGGUCGGGCAAAGCCAAAAGCCGGCUUGACUGCAAGGCAAAUAUGCCGCGCAGAGAGGAAACUCGAACUUAGUGAACCGACGGAUUUUAGUAGAAAAUCCGAAGAUCAUCAGCCAAAAGUUACCCCGGGGAUAACAGGCUAGUAGGGCCCGCGAGUCCUCAUCAACGGCCCUGUUCGGCACCUUAACAUAUCGGGGUGCUACAGUAGCAAUACUGUAUUCCGUUUAAAGCGGAACGAAAAAACUGACUUAUAACGGUGGAAUCCAUAUGUUAUGAUAAAUAUAUGGACAAUACCGUGGGAAGUUUAACCCAAUACCAAAAAUCACUAAUUAUUGGGACAAUGUUGGGUGAUGGAUAUUUACGUAUAAUUCCAGGAAGAAGGAAUGCCUUUCUAGAGAUAAAUCAUUCUUUNNNNNNNNNNNNNNNNNNNNNNNNNNNNNNNNNNNNNNNNNNNNNNNNNNNNNNNNNNNNNNNNNNNNNAAGAAAAGGCAAUGGGAACAGAAUUGCAUAUCGAUUUUAUACAAAACAAUAUCCAGAACUCACUGAGCUUUAUAACAAAUUUUAUAAAAACGGUUAUAAAAUUGUUCCUGAUAAUUUAAAACUCGAUGCCGUUGCAUUAAGCGUGUGGUUUAUGGACGACGGAAGUAGAUGCGGAAAUUCAAAUUUUUAUCUUAAUACUCAACAAUUUAGCAAAGAUCAUCAAAUAAAAUUGUUGAAUUAUUUAGAAAAGAUUGGUUUAAAGGCAAACUUAAAUAAAGAUAAAAAUUAUUACCGCAUAAGAUUUUUUACUUCUUCAAUUAAUAAAUUAAAGGAGUUAUUAAGAGAAAAUUUAAUUCCUUCGAUGUAUUAUAAAAUUGGGUUAUAACCUCGUAGAGACUUGACUUUAAUAGUCAGAGUCCUUCAAAUUUAUUGAGGGGCUAACACGUCAGCUCUCGCAAGAUGCGAGAUGAAGAUAUAGUCCGAUCCUCCAAGUAAUUGGAGAAAAAUACCGACAUUGCGAUGUCGGCUCAUCACAUCCUGGAGGUGAAGUAGCUUCCAAGGGUUGGGCUGUUCGCCCAUUAAAGUGGUACGUGAGCUGGGUUCAAACCGUCGUGAGACAGGUUGGUCCCUAUCUACCGCAGGCGUAGAGUCUUGAGAGGGGUCGUCCUCAGUACGAGAGGACCAGGAUGAACUGACCUCUGGUCUACCAGCUGUUCUGCCAAGAGCAUCGCUGGGUAGCUAAGUCGGGAACUGAUAAGCGCUGAAAGCAUCUAAGCGCGAAGCAGGCCUCAAGAUUAGGACUCAUAGAUUCCUCAGAGAUUAUGAGGUUGAUAGGCUGCAGGUGUAAGGCGGGUAACCGCUUAAGCCGAGCAGUACUAAUAAAUCAUCAGCCUUCUUG